GAUGAAGAACGUAGCGAAAUGCGAAAAGUAAUGUGAAUUGCAGAAUUCAGUGAACCAUCGAAUCUUUGAACGCACAUUGCGCCCGCUGGAACUCCGGCGGGCACGCCUGUCCGGGCGUCAUUUCAACCCUCAGGCCCCCCUUCGCGGGCGGGCCUGGUGUUGGGGCCCGGCCGCUACCCUGCGGCCGUCCCCUAAAUUCAGUGGCGGCCUCGCCGUGAUCCCUUGCGUAGUAAUGCACCUCGCACCGGAGAGCGCCGUGGCCACGCCGUAAAACCCCCAAUUUUCAAUGGUUGACCUCGGAUCAGGUGGGAAUACCCGCUGAACUUAAGCAUAUCAAUAAGCGGAGGA
RNAcentral lists this unclassified non-coding RNA (348 nucleotides) under soil metagenome. Its description in RNAcentral is "partial contains 5.8S ribosomal RNA, internal transcribed spacer 2, and large subunit ribosomal RNA". The stretch from base 1 to 120 matches the Rfam family "5.8S ribosomal RNA", at positions 35 to 154 of the family's 154-position model. The record is from RNAcentral.